GAUGAACGCUAGCUACAGGCUUAACACAUGCAAGUCGAGGGGAAACGACAUCGAAAGCUUGCUUUUGAUGGGCGUCGACCGGCGCACGGGUGAGUAACGCGUAUCCAACCUGCCCACCACUUGGGGAUAACCUUGCGAAAGUAAGACUAAUACCCAAUGACGUCUCUAGAAGACAUCUGAAAGAGAUUAAAGAUUUAUCGGUGAUGGAUGGGGAUGCGUCUGAUUAGCUUGUUGGCGGGGUAACGGCCCACCGAGGCGACGAUCAGUAGGGGGUCUGAGAGGAAGGUCCCCCACAUUGGAACUGAGACACGGUCCAAACUCCUACGGGAGGCAGCAGUGAGGAAUAUUGGUCAAUGGGCGAGAGCCUGAACCAGCCAAGUAGCGUGCAGGAUGACGGCCCUAUGGGUUGUAAACUGCUUUUAUAAGGGAAUAAAGUGAGUCUCGUGAGACUUUUUGCAUGUACCUUAUGAAUAAGGACCGGCUAAUUCCGUGCCAGCCGCCGCAGUAA
This 508-nucleotide ribosomal RNA is filed under the name uncultured bacterium. RNAcentral's name for it is "partial 16S ribosomal RNA". It matches the Rfam family "Bacterial small subunit ribosomal RNA", at positions 28 to 523 of the family's 1533-position model. The record is from RNAcentral.